GUGCUCUCUUAGGCAACAAAUUUAUUAAAAUUGAAAUGAUGCAGAGAAGACUAGCUUGUCUCCUGUGCAAGGAUGACACGCAAAUUUGUGAAGUGUUCCAUAAUUAA
Small nuclear RNA from Protobothrops mucrosquamatus (brown spotted pit viper), 107 nucleotides. Lineage: Eukaryota; Metazoa; Chordata; Lepidosauria; Squamata; Viperidae. The record is from RefSeq and is a predicted model, not a curated record.